Molecule: long non-coding RNA, 343 nt
Organism: Exaiptasia diaphana
Lineage: Eukaryota; Metazoa; Cnidaria; Anthozoa; Actiniaria; Aiptasiidae
Exons: 2
Source: RefSeq, a predicted model, not a curated record
GUUACUAAGAUGGCGGACGUGAGAUAAGUCGAUAGAGUUGAUUUAGGAUUACCGAAAGCAGGUAACUUAUUCAAGACUGUAAUUCUUCUUUACUUCGUCUUGUGUCUGAAUAUCUACAGGAUUGAUCACUGGGCAUGAACAUCAGRGCAUGUUUUCACAUUUUAGUCAGUCUUCGACAAUUGUCUCCAUGAAAGAUCAACAGUGUAUUCUGCAGUAGUCCAUUUGAUCUUYAUAGAUAAAAAUAUGGUUCUAACUAGUGUAAAAACUUUUCAUGCAAAGGAGGUGCUGUUAGUGUCUGUUAGUGUUAUGUCCUUUUUUAACAAUGAMGUAUAUUUGUAUCCAG